This 537-nucleotide ribosomal RNA is filed under the name uncultured Acidobacteriota bacterium. Its description in RNAcentral is "bacterial SSU rRNA". It matches the Rfam family "Bacterial small subunit ribosomal RNA", at positions 13 to 529 of the family's 1533-position model. Lineage: Bacteria; Pseudomonadati; Acidobacteriota. The record is from RNAcentral.
UUGAUCCUGGCUCAGAAUCAACGCUGGCGGCGUGCCUAACACAUGCAAGUCGAACGCGAAAGCCCCGCAAGGGGUAAGUAGAGUGGCAAACGGGUGAGUUACACGUGGGUGACCUGCCUUCGAGUGGGGGAUAACGUCCCGAAAGGGACUCUAAUACCGCAUGACAUCCUGCUCUUGGACGAGCGGAGAUCAAAGCUGGUGAUCGCAAGACCUGGCGCUUGAAGAGGGGCCCGCGCCUGAUUAGCUAGUUGGUGAGGUAACGGCUCACCAAGGCUACGAUCAGUAUCCGGCCUGAGAGGUCGGACGGACACACUGGGACUGAGACACGGCCCAGACUCCUACGGGAGGCUGCAGUGGGGAAUUGUUCGCAAUGGGCGCAAGCCUGACGACGCAACGCCGUGUGGAGGAUGAAGAUCUUCGGGUCGUAAACUCCUGUCGAGUGGAAAGAAUAGCUUCCGGGCGAAUAUCCCGGAAGCCUGACGGUACCACUAAAGGAAGCUCCGGCUAACUCCGUGCCAGCAGCCGCGGUAAUAAGGU